ACGCGAAGAACCGUUACCUGGGCUUGAACUGUAGUGGAUCGUCCUCAGAAACGAGGAUUUUCCCUUCGGGGACGUGCUAUAGAGGUGCUGCACGGCUGUCGUCAGCUCGUGUCGUGAGAUGUUGGGUUAAGUCCCGCAACGAGCGCAACCCCUAUCCCUAGUUGCCAUCGGGUAAUGCCGGGAACUUCUAGGGAGACUGCCCGGGAUAACCGGGAGGAAGGUGGGGAUGACGUCAAGUCCUCAUGGCCUCUAUGCCCAGGGCUACACACGUGCUACAAUGGCCGGUACAAAGGGUAGCUAAGUCGCAAGACCCAGCCAAUCCCAAAAAACCGUCUCAGGUGCAGUCUGCAACUCGACUGCAUGAAGUUGGAAUCGCUAGUAAUCGCAGAUCAGCACGCUG
This 400-nucleotide ribosomal RNA is filed under the name uncultured bacterium. RNAcentral describes it as "bacterial SSU rRNA". It matches the Rfam family "Bacterial small subunit ribosomal RNA", at positions 959 to 1359 of the family's 1533-position model. The record is from RNAcentral.